UACAGAGGUCUCAAGCGUUGUUCGGAUUCAUUGGGCGUAAAGGGCGCGUAGGCGGCCUUCUAAGUCGAACGUGAAAUCCCUGGGCUCAACCCAGGAACUGCGUCCGAUACUGGGAGGCUUGAAUCCGGGAGAGGGAUGUGGAAUUCCAGGUGUAGCGGUGAAAUGCGUAGAUAUCUGGAGGAACACCGGUGGCGAAGGCGGCAUCCUGGACCGGUAUUGACGCUGAUGCGCGAAAGCCAAGGGAGCAAACGGG
This 253-nucleotide ribosomal RNA is filed under the name uncultured bacterium. RNAcentral's name for it is "partial 16S ribosomal RNA". It matches the Rfam family "Bacterial small subunit ribosomal RNA", at positions 524 to 776 of the family's 1533-position model. The record is from RNAcentral.